GACGAACGCUGGCGGCGUGCCUAAUACAUGCAAGUAGAACGCUGAAGAGAGGAGCUUGCUCUUCUUGGAUGAGUUGCGAACGGGUGAGUAACGCGUAGGUAACCUGCCUGGUAGCGGGGGAUAACUAUUGGAAACGAUAGCUAAUACCGCAUAAAAUUGCUUAUCGCAUGAUAAUUAAUUGAAAGAUGCAAUUGCAUCACUACCAGAUGGACCUGCGUUGUAUUAGCUAGUUGGUGAGGUAACGGCUCACCAAGGCGACGAUACAUAGCCGACCUGAGAGGGUGAUCGGCCACACUGGGACUGAGACACGGCCCAGACUCCUACGGGAGGCAGCAGUAGGGAAUCUUCGGCAAUGGGGGGAACCCUGACCGAGCAACGCCGCGUGAGUGAAGAAGGUUUUCGGGAUCGU
This 409-nucleotide ribosomal RNA is filed under the name Streptococcus sanguinis. Its description in RNAcentral is "bacterial SSU rRNA". It matches the Rfam family "Bacterial small subunit ribosomal RNA", at positions 28 to 426 of the family's 1533-position model. Lineage: Bacteria; Bacillati; Bacillota; Bacilli; Lactobacillales; Streptococcaceae. The record is from RNAcentral.